CAGUAGCCGCGGUAAUACAGAGGGUGCGAGCGUUAAUCGGAUUUACUGGGCGUAAAGCGUGCGUAGGCGGCUUUUUAAGUCGGAUGUGAAAUCCCUGAGCUUAACUUAGGAAAUGCAUUCGAUACUGGGAAGCUAGAGUAUGGGAGAGGAUGGUAGAAUUCCAGGUGUAGCGGUGAAAUGCGUAGAGAUCUGGAGGAAUACCGAUGGCGAAGGCAGCCAUCUGGCCUAAUACUGACGCUGAGGUACGAAAGCAUGGGGAGCAAACAGGAUUAGAUACCCCGGUAGUCCCUGUCUCUUAUAC
Molecule: ribosomal RNA, 301 nt
Filed under: uncultured bacterium
Lineage: Bacteria
Description: partial 16S ribosomal RNA
Rfam family: Bacterial small subunit ribosomal RNA
Source: RNAcentral